CAAAUGAAUUGACGGGGACCCGCACAAGCGGUGGAUGAUGUGGUUUAAUUCGAUGCAACGCGAAAACCUUACCCACCUUUGACAUGUACGGAAUCCUUUAGAGAUAGAGGAGUGCUCGAAAGAGAGCCGUAACACAGGUGCUGCAUGGCUGUCGUCAGCUCGUGUCGUGAGAUGUUGGGUUAAGUCCCGCAACGAGCGCAACCCUUGUCAUUAGUUGCUACAUUCAGUUGGGCACUCUAAUGAGACUGCCGGUGACAAACCGGAGGAAGGUGGGGAUGACGUCAAGUCCUCAUGGCCCUUAUAGGUGGGGCUACACACGUCAUACAAUGGAUGGUACAAAGGGUCGCCAACCCGCGAGGGGGAGCCAAUCCCAUAAGGCCAUUCGUAGUCCGGAUCGCAGUCUGCAACUCGACUGCGUGAAGUCGGAAUCGCUAGUAAUCGUGGAUCAGAAUGUCACGGUGAAUACGUUCCCGGGUCUU
RNAcentral lists this ribosomal RNA (479 nucleotides) under uncultured Acidovorax sp. RNAcentral's name for it is "bacterial SSU rRNA". It matches the Rfam family "Bacterial small subunit ribosomal RNA", at positions 902 to 1382 of the family's 1533-position model. The record is from RNAcentral. Lineage: Bacteria; Pseudomonadati; Pseudomonadota; Betaproteobacteria; Burkholderiales; Comamonadaceae.